This 208-nucleotide microRNA precursor is filed under the name Oryza glumipatula. RNAcentral describes it as "MIR812 microRNA precursor family". It matches the Rfam family "MIR812 microRNA precursor family". The record is from Rfam by way of RNAcentral. Lineage: Eukaryota; Viridiplantae; Streptophyta; Magnoliopsida; Poales; Poaceae.
AAUAAGUGCAGCCGUGGAUAUCCGUGCCCAACGUUUGACCGUCCGUCUUAUUUGAAAAAUUUGUAAAAAAAUUGAAAAUAUUUAGUCACACAUAAAGUACUAUUUAUAUUUUAUCAUCUAAUAGCAAUUAAAAUACUAAUCAUAAAAAUUUUUUAAAUAAAACGAACGGUUAAACGUUGAAUGUGAAUAGUGUAAAACUGUACUUAUU